UACGUAGGUGGCAAGCGUUGUCCGGAUUUACUGGGCGUAAAGAGCGCGCAGGCGGUUGUUUAAGUCGAAUGUGAAAGCCCCCGGCUCAACUGGGGAGGGUCAUUCGAUACUGAUCGACUUGAAGGCAGGAGAGGGAAGUGGAAUUCCUGGUGUAGCGGUGAAAUGCGCAGAUAUCAGGAGGAACACCGGUGGCGAAGGCGGAUCUCUGGGCCAUUACUGACGCUGAGGAGCGAAAGCGUGGGGAGCGAACAGG
This 253-nucleotide ribosomal RNA is filed under the name uncultured bacterium. RNAcentral describes it as "partial 16S ribosomal RNA". It matches the Rfam family "Bacterial small subunit ribosomal RNA", at positions 524 to 776 of the family's 1533-position model. The record is from RNAcentral.